CAGCAGCCGCGGGAAUACGAAGGGGGCUAGCGUUGUUCGGAUUUACUGGGCGUAAAGGGCGCGUAGGCGGACUGAUAAGUCAGGGGUGAAAUCCCAAGGCUCAACCUUGGAACUGCCUUUGAUACUGUUUGUCUUGAGUUCGAGAGAGGUAAGUGGAACUGCGAGUGUAGAGGUGAAAUUCGUAGAUAUUCGCAAGAACACCAGUGGCGAAGGCGGCUUACUGGCUCGAUACUGACGCUGAGGCGCGAAAGCGUGGGGAGCAAACAGGAUCAGAUACCCCAGUAGUCCCUGUCUCUUAUAC
This 301-nucleotide ribosomal RNA is filed under the name uncultured bacterium. RNAcentral describes it as "partial 16S ribosomal RNA". It matches the Rfam family "Bacterial small subunit ribosomal RNA", at positions 509 to 807 of the family's 1533-position model. The record is from RNAcentral.